UUGGCCCUGAUCAAGAUUGGCAGCUUGCAGUAGCUGUUGGUUUCAAACAGAGCCGACAUGAAGUUCUUCCUGUGGUCUGUUGGUUUCCCAGAGAGUUACAACAGGGAUAAUCAAUUCAGUUGGAAGGAACAAAA
Myripristis murdjan (pinecone soldierfish) is the source of this 134-nucleotide small nucleolar RNA. The record is from Ensembl. NCBI's taxonomy places the organism in Eukaryota, Metazoa, Chordata, Actinopteri, Holocentriformes, Holocentridae.